Molecule: long non-coding RNA, 430 nt
Filed under: Mytilus galloprovincialis (Mediterranean mussel)
Lineage: Eukaryota; Metazoa; Mollusca; Bivalvia; Mytilida; Mytilidae
Source: RNAcentral
AAAUAUUAUGUUUUAUCAAUGAAAGUUAAGGUAUGAAAGGUAAGAAUUGCCACUUAUUCGAUUUUCACAAAAUUUUCGUAAUAUACAGUUGAAAGGUUAUUUUUUAAAAGCCUAUUGUGAAGAGUAAAGAGAAAGUUUACAAAUAAUACGUUUUGUUCCAUUAAACAAGUCAUUUUCGUAAGAGUAAUACCGAAAUAUAUUUUACGCAACUACGGCAGGUAAAAUUAUUAUUUAUCAUAAUAAAAAAAAAGCAUUUUUCAGUCUCAUUGGAAUAUGUUGAUUACAAUUAAUCCCAAACUUAAGAAGUAAGUAACUAAAGUCAAAAUAUGUCCGAUCUGCCUAUUUCUGCACAUCAAAAGUCAAUACGAUCGUUUUAAAGUCAAUUUCGUCUACCUCACAAAAUCUUGUUAGGCACUAUAACAAUUAUUUC